RNAcentral lists this ribosomal RNA (379 nucleotides) under uncultured cyanobacterium. RNAcentral describes it as "bacterial SSU rRNA". It matches the Rfam family "Bacterial small subunit ribosomal RNA", at positions 376 to 770 of the family's 1533-position model. Lineage: Bacteria; Bacillati; Cyanobacteriota. The record is from RNAcentral.
GGCAACCCUGACGGAGCAAGACCGCGUGAGGGAGGAAGGCUCUUGGGUUGUAAACCUCUUUUCUCAGGGAAGAAGCUCUGACGGUACCUGAGGAAUCAGCCUCGGCUAGCUCCGUGCCAGCAGCCGCGGUAAUACGGAGGAGGCAAGCGUUAUCCGGAAUUAUUGGGCGUAAAGCGUCCGUAGGCGGUUUUUCAAGUCUGCCGUUAAAGACUACAGCUUAACUGUGGGCCGGCGGUGGAAACUGAUGAACUUGAGUAUGGUAGGGGUAGAGGGAAUUCCCAGUGUAGCGGUGAAAUGCGUAGAUAUUGGGAAGAACACCAGUGGCGAAGGCGCUCUGCUGGGCCAUAACUGACACUGAGGGACGAAAGCUAGGGGAGCG